Molecule: ribosomal RNA, 253 nt
Filed under: uncultured bacterium
Lineage: Bacteria
Description: partial 16S ribosomal RNA
Rfam family: Bacterial small subunit ribosomal RNA
Source: RNAcentral
CACGUAGGGCGCGAGCGUUGUCCGGAAUUAUUGGGCGUAAAGAGCUCGUAGGCGGCCCGCGAGGUGUCACGUGAAAGCCCCGGGCUCAACCCGGGAGGGUCGUGGCAAACCGGCGGGCUUGAGGCCGGUAGAGGUGGGUGGAACUCCUGGUGGAGUGGUGAAAUGCGUAGAGAUCAGGAAGAACACCCGUGGCGAAGGCGGCCCACUGGGCCGGUACUGACGCUGAGGCGCGAAGGCGUGGGGAGCGAACGGG